This 2298-nucleotide long non-coding RNA is filed under the name Anas platyrhynchos platyrhynchos (common mallard). Its description in RNAcentral is "lncRNA (ENSAPLG00000019732.1)". Lineage: Eukaryota; Metazoa; Chordata; Aves; Anseriformes; Anatidae. The record is from RNAcentral.
AUGGGAAAUAAAGCACCAAGUAAACAAGAAAAAACGAAUUUGGUGAUGCACAGUUUAUAUACAAAUCCUGUGUCUGGAUUCUUCCCAGACUUUGGGAAAAAUUAGUUAAUAUAAAAAAAAACAUAUGUGUUAUUAAGUAGUACCUUAGGCACUAUCAUACUACACUUGUUAGAACGCACAUGGUUGUUGGCAUGCAGUGAAGCAAAGAAAGCAAUACGCUGUGGACUUCAGCAGUGGUAUCUCUGGAACAGCACAAGGCUAAGUUGCAAGCACUGGCACUGAUGCAGCUGGUCUUCAGUUUUCAGUUUAUUCAGUAUGCCUUUCCUCUGGAAUAUUAAAUACAUUAAGUAUUUUGUCUGAUGCAGUACUGGACUCCUCUUAGGCCAAUAAUAAGCUGGAAACAUUCUGAGUUAAAUCAGGUCCCAUCUCACCUAUCUUCCCCAUUGCAUAAGCAUUUUUUCCUGUGUCCCCCACCUGAAGUUGAUCAACCCUUGAUGUUCCAGCACAUUAGAUAGAAGGCUCAAGUAAUUUAAUAGCAUGACCUGAAAAUUAAAGCUUGAAGGCAAAGCAUUUUUCAUCCAGCCAUUAGCUAAGGAUGGAAUUUAUUCACCUCAUCUCUCCUGCAUAUAUUUAACUCCUUUGUUAACAUCACCAGCUAGAACUGCUGCUAUGGGAAGAUACCAUCAGCAGUCCCUAGACCACAGGGUCUUGAGUUAUGUUUUACAAAAACAUCUGACAGCUCCAGCAACACCACUCAUCUCUUGGCUGCCCACAAGCAGUGAGGACAGAGCUGGGGUACAGCACAGGGCUGGGGGCCUCCAGUACCACACAUGGCUACCAGUGCCCUGCCACUCACACUGUUUUGGCCUUCAACAGCCCCUGGUGCUGCAGCCCCAUCAGGCUUUGGAGCUCUUUCAACUGGCUUUUUUACAGCAGCAUUCAGUAUGUUGGUCUGCUGUGUAAGGCUAGUUCCCAUACUAUCUACUUGCUGUAGUGUAAAUACCAACUCUCAGUUCCCUCAACCACCCAACUCAGAGCCAUCCAGAGAGAACAAGAAAGGAAAUAUAAAGCACAAUGAAGAUGCAAAGACAGGAAUAGGAAAAAGAAAAAGGGUUUCAAUUAUGCAAUACAAUCAAGAGCACCUGUGCUGGAAUUCAUUAACUCCAUUGAGCAGGCAGCUGCAUAUUUGCAACAUCCUGAUGAGGCAAGGGAAAAAAAAGAACAGAUCACUGACUGUACAGAUUGGAAAACAUAACAAAACAUUUAAAAUACCUUUUUUUUUUUACUCAGACAUUUGAUUAUCCUGUUCCCCUCUCAGAAUGGCUGAUUUCCUGUAUUUGUGCAUAUAAGUCUGUGUAGUUCAUUUUAUAGGUUUCUUCAGUAUAAAUACAAAAGAACAAUGAAAUAAUAUUCUCCAAAAAGUACAGUUCAUACUAGUGUUUCUGUAAAGUUAAAUACUUGAAGCAAUGCUGAACACCUGUCUUCUGAAGUUAAUCAAUUGAGAGACCAUUCUGACUAGCCUAAUAUGGCUGAUAAUUGUGGUUUAAUUUUCACCCUGGUAUAAGUUCUUACCUAUAAGAAUUUAUAUUCUUAUUUUCCCUGCUGCAGGUUUGUGUUUUAUGCUAGGUGGGUAAGUCUAUAACCCUUGAAACUUUCCCUUGUACCUCUGUAAUCACUUUUGGCUGUGGAGAAAAGUCCAUAUUCCCGAUUCAUACACCUGUGGCAAUUAAGGGACAUUAGGUGGAUCUUGACCUCACUGGCUUCUUUUGGCCUCUGCUAACAGUGAUCACAUAGGUUAUUUUCAAGUGCUUAUUGGACUUUUCAAGGGGAAAUUCUGAAAAAGCAGAUCACAAAUGUCUCCUAUGUGCAACUGCUCUGAUGCUGUGGGAGGACUGUAAUGCUGCCUCAGAUUAUAUUCAAUUCUACUCAUGUUGCUUAAUGAAUGAGGUGUGUGAGGAGUCUGGAUUCAAACAACGGCCUCUGCAAAGCUGGAACAUCACAAGAUUCCCAUGAACAGAUUUCCUCAGGUUUGGCAAGGGAAGACAGAUGCAUGCUGUUAGUUAUACUUCAGUGGGAUCUUCCAGUAGUAUCUUUAAAAAUGGAAGACUUUAGCAAGAAUCCAUUGUGCACCAAGUUUUUGAUCUCUUACUAAAAUAUGAACAAGGCAAGCAAGAAGAACUGACAGUAUUUGGUCUGUGCGUCUGUCUGCCUGGAUGUAGUGUCACACUUUGCGUUAUGAUUUGUGUUCUCCUUUAUAUUCUGGAGACUAAUUCAUCUAUCUUGAGUACUCCUUCUGUU